Molecule: unclassified non-coding RNA, 378 nt
Filed under: plant metagenome
Description: partial contains 5.8S ribosomal RNA, internal transcribed spacer 2, and large subunit ribosomal RNA
Rfam family: 5.8S ribosomal RNA (bases 1-105)
Source: RNAcentral
GAAAUGCGAUAAGUAAUGUGAAUUGCAGAAUUCAGUGAAUCAACGAAUCUUUGAACGCACCUUGCGCUCCUUGGUAUUCCUUGGAGCAUGCCUGUUUGAGUAUCAUGAAAUCUUCAAAGUAAAUCUUUUGUUAACUCAAUUGGUUUCUACUUUGGUAUUGGAGGUCUUUGCAGCUUCACACCUGCUCCUCUUUGUUCAUUAGCUGGAUCUCAGUGUUAUGCUUGGUUCCACUCGGCGUGAUAAGUUAUCUAUCGCUGAGGACACUGUAAAAGGUGGCCAAGGUAAAUGCAGAUGAACCGCUUCUAAUAGUCCAUUGACUUGGACAAUACUUUUAUGAUCUGAUCUCAAAUCAGGUAGGACUACCCGCUGAACUUAAGC